CGAGNUGCCGGGGCUUCUUCUACGGUUACCGUCAUUAUCUUNCCGUUGAAAGAGCUUUACAACCCUAGGACCUUCAUCACUCACGCGGCAUGGCUGGAUCAGGCUUGCGCCCAUUGUCCAAUAUUCCCCACUGCUGCCU
RNAcentral lists this ribosomal RNA (139 nucleotides) under uncultured Mesorhizobium sp. RNAcentral describes it as "partial 16S ribosomal RNA". The record is from RNAcentral. Lineage: Bacteria; Pseudomonadati; Pseudomonadota; Alphaproteobacteria; Hyphomicrobiales; Phyllobacteriaceae.